Molecule: long non-coding RNA, 277 nt
Filed under: Mytilus galloprovincialis (Mediterranean mussel)
Lineage: Eukaryota; Metazoa; Mollusca; Bivalvia; Mytilida; Mytilidae
Source: RNAcentral
CACUGAAUGGAAUGAAACCAAACAUGGCAUGAAUGUUCCUUAUGAGGCGCUGACCAAGUGUUGUUACUUUGUAGCCGAUCCAUCAUCCAAGAUGGCCGCCAGCAGGGGACUUAGUUUAACAUAGGACCCUAUGGGAAAUGCAUACAAAUGACUUCUUUUAGAGAACCACUAAAUGGAAUGAAACCAAACAUGGCAUGAAUGUUCCUUAUGAGGCGCUGACCAAGUGUUGUUACUUUGUAGCCGAUCCAUCAUCCAAGAUGGCCGCCAGCAGGAGACU